GACUGCGUAACAGGGUAGGGGGACAGGCAGAAAAUGUCACCAGAAAACGGCACCAUCACAGAGAAGAAACAGACACCACCGCAGCACCUAAACUGGGUCUAUGCCAACUGAGAGCAAAAACUGGAUUACAUUUACUUUUGGAGCUUUGACUUGUUACAACCAUGCCGGAAUUAUCAAGGACACAGUCUUGGCAUAACGAGCAGGAUCAGAUGACACAAGCAGACUCCUCACUGGCCACAGCCUUGUGUAACUCCAUCCAGUGCUGUGUUUAUCAUCCUGGACUGUUGGGGGAGAAGGCCUGCCCAGCGCUGGAGCGGCACAUGCAGCCAAGAGAAAGAAUGCCUUGUGCUCUGAUAAAUAUGAAGAUAAGAAUAAUGAUCUGGGCCAAAUCCUAAUAAUAGAUGUGAAAAUGUAACUACAGCAGGGUGUGUCCACCUCUCUCUCUCUCUCUCACCCAUCCCCUCUGCUAACAAGUGUCCAGGCAAAGUGUUUCAUGGUCAGAGGAGGUGAAGACGGAUCAGGUGAAAGAUGGACAAUAAAGGCUGAGAAGCAGCAAAGAGCGUAAAUCAGAUGUUUGAGCAGGACAGAGGGGGGAAAAAAAUUAGGAAUAACAGGGAAAUCUGGUCGGGAUAAGAGAGUGGGCGGAUCUGCUCCAACAUGUAGAAUCUUCUGCUGUAAUUUCACAUAAUUCAGGUCAAUGAUAGAGAUAAAAGUAGUGUCAAAAUCAGGGAAAUGAAAAAAAAAAAAUGAAAAAAAUGCACAAAAACAGAAAAAAGAGAAAUCUAUGUUUUCUGAGACAUGAAGGUUUUAAAACAGAAGGUGGAGCAUGGCACAAAAUGAUGCAGCAGUCACCCUGUGCUAUUUCUCAGAAUAAUAAAACAAACAAAAACAAAGAGCUACCCACUUGCAGAAGCAUGUCCAGCUGAUGUGAAUAUGUAUUUGUGUUUACUAGAGUACAGAACAUUUUAUUCUCUCUUCUCGAGAGCUUCGGCCUCAGCCAUUACACAACAGCACACCACACUCCCUCCCUCCCUCCCCAUCCUUUCUCUUUACAGGCAGAUCUCACUCAUCUUAUCUGUGUCUUCUUAGGUUCACCGUGUUCACAUCAACAUGUUCCUCCAGUCACGGAUGACGGCAUGACAGCUCUUUAAACAGACAGAAGCUACAAAUCAUCACAUUUCACACAUCAGGAGUGCCGCAUGAGGCCUGUAAACAAACCGCCCUGUGACUGCAGAUCCACGCUAUUAAAAGUUACAUUCAGCUCCGAUAAACAAAGUUAACCUUUUAGUGGCAUGAAAAUUCUCAGACGACUGCAGAAAAGCUUGGCCCUGUCAUUUUAAGAUAAAACCUGUUGCUAGUGGCAACAGCACAGUCGGCACUGCUGUCACUGUGGACAUGACAGAUAAAUAUCACUGACUCUCUUAUCUCUGGGUGGCCAAUAAAUGUUAUUCUUUUGGAUAUUUCAGUGUUUACAACAGCGUGACGGAUAUUUAUGACACCCGAUACAAGCCUCUGCAGAAAGAUACACAUUUUUUUUAAGUUGGGAGCCGUUUUAAAACCAUUUUUAAUCAACUCUAACAUGUAUGGCUAUCAUGUAUAGCUGUUAGAGUUGAUUAAACAUCAGGAGAAAUUGUUGUGUUCUUUUUAUUUCAGUUGAUUUACUGAUGACCCAAUUUUGUAAUCCCUCCCUGGCAGGCCUUGUGUAGAAGUUGUUCCCUGUGAUGGUGCAAAUGUUUGAUCAGGUUUUCCUCUAUUGCUUUACAUAUGUGUCUCCAAUAAAACAAAAUAAGUAUGGGACUGUAAACAAGGCAACGAAGAGACAUUAAGAAAGUAAUAACAAGUGAUAAACAGAGUUAAAGAACCUUAUCCAACAACAUGUGAACUGUUUGACCCCUAAAAUGAUUCCCUAAAUUGAAAAAAACUUCAUCAAAUGAAGUGUUGCGAACUGAAAGUUUUAAUCUCUGAGUGUUCUGACUGUUAAUGUUAAUGUAAGACAGGGAGAAGGUCAGAUUUUAUAUAUAUACAGUAUAUAUACACACAUAUGUUAGAAGAAAAUAAAAGCUUGGCUUGGUGUACUAAUCACGCACUAAUUUGAGCUCAGCUUCUGUAGCCAGGCAGCAGCUCAAGCUGCACAAGUCAGCGCGACAGGCAGCACCCUGAUCCUGUAUCCUGCACCAACACGAUGCUCAGCCCACUUUAAUGCACGGCUGAAUCAGAAUCUCUACCGUUCUUCACUGUAUGGUCACAACAACCUACGACUACUUGAAUGAACUCUGACCAGAGCGGCAUCGAGAAGAACAGAAAAAAAAAACAGAUGCAGGAAGAAGCAUGGACGUGAACCUAAUCACUGUCAUCAUGUUGUUUGUCUGAAAAACUGUGUAGUGAAGCAUUACUGAUGAAAAGCUGAUGAUGUUUGAGAUUCAUUUCUUGUCUUGUCCUGUCUAUAGUGUUUGUGUAUUUGUGUCCUUAAAUUGCUUACAUGAUUAAACUGGUCGAAGUGCAGUCGGUUCAACCAUAGUGCUGCUGUGCUGCCCACUAAUAUUUAUCUGUGUUGUCAGUCCUUUGUGAGAACUUCUCUUUAGUUGCAGGCAUGCUCUGUGAGGUCUUGUUUGUUUUUGCUUCACUGUAUGUGUCACUAAAAUGUAGGAAAAGAGCCUUAGACAGAAAGGUAGUGGAAUAAAAAAUGCUUGAUUGUGUGUCAAUUUCAGCAUCAGUCUCCUUUUUUAUUGGGUGGAUGCAUGAUGUAACUUCCACAAAAUAUGCAAGUACAUUUGUAAAAGUGUAUGGUAGCUUUAAAAGAAUAAGACUUUUUAAAGUACUUCAACUUUACGGAGGCUGUUUAUACAGCAGCCCAAUCAGCCCGAGUCUGUGUGGUUUUUAGUGUUUUGCAGCAGAAGCUGACUGUGCCAUCAAAGAACAUCAACGUCCUCUCUGGUAUGUGAAGGCUAUGUAGCACCCUGGCACACUUAGGAGAUGGGGGGGUUGUUGCAAUCUGCAGUCUCACCAUUAGAUGUCACUAAUUCUUACACACUGGUUCUUUAACCUUGUAAGCAAGGAAACUACUCUACUGUGCAUAAAGGCACUUUCAUUCCUGACCUUGAACAUGUGAAAAUGUGAUCUGAACUGUGCAGAUGUUUUAUUUUUCCUUUUGUCAGGUGAGUUGCGAUUCCUCUGAGCUAAACUGAUGGAGGUCUAAUUGGUGGAUGAUGAACUCUCUGGUGCUGCACAGACACUCUCAGCUCCAGCCGUUCUGAACACUGUACAAGACAGUGAUUUAUGGGAAGCCGUAUAAAGACCAUCAGCACUCUGUGUGUGCUCUGUGGGCUGAGGACCACUGACACAGGGGGGAGGAGUCCGGCGUGCCCUUGUCCUGGACAGACACUCAACCUGUCUGUGAUGGAGAAGCUGUUGUCUCUGAGAGAAUUGCUGUUAAACAUACAU
Long non-coding RNA from Solea senegalensis (Senegalese sole), 3441 nucleotides. RefSeq lists it as uncharacterized. The transcript is spliced from 3 exons. The record is from RefSeq and is a predicted model, not a curated record. NCBI's taxonomy places the organism in Eukaryota, Metazoa, Chordata, Actinopteri, Pleuronectiformes, Soleidae.